RNAcentral lists this long non-coding RNA (8221 nucleotides) under Lathyrus oleraceus (garden pea). RNAcentral's name for it is "Pisum sativum (pea) long non-coding RNA (PSAT_LNC011250)". Lineage: Eukaryota; Viridiplantae; Streptophyta; Magnoliopsida; Fabales; Fabaceae. The record is from RNAcentral.
UCAUAACUAAUUCAGUUCACUAGCUGUCAUAACAGAAAAUCCUAACUGAAAUUCCACAAUCCCAAUGCUAAAUCACCUAUAAAUUCACUCCUCAUGAUUCAUCCAGAGGUGAAUCAUUUUUCUUCCACUCUCAAAUCCCAAUCAGUUACACAUUCAUCGCUCUCCACUUUGAUUGGAAUCACUCUUCAGUUCCAAUUAUCCUCACUCACACUCAAUUGAUUGAAGGUUGCUCCAUCACCUCCAAUCAAUUUUUCACCCUUAAACAUUCAAUCCCCAAUCGUUCAUCAUCAUCAUGGAGCUACAAGAUUCAUUUGCCCGAACCUUCAUCCUCAUUAUUCUCUAUUCACUGAUCGUCCUAUGCAACAAUCUCCAUCACUCUGGAUUCAACCUCUCAAUCUCUCAACGAUUCACUCUCAGAUUCAGAACAACUAGGACCACAAAUCAGAGGGGAAGAAGAAGAAAGUGGAGGAAGCAAGAGGUUCAAAGGAAAGAGGAGGGAGUACGAGACCUACCUGAGACUCCAUUGUCAUCGCCGCCUACGAACUACUCCGGUAAGCAUCCUAAAUUUCAUCUUGAUUUUUCCGUUUCUAAUUACCUGUAGGUUGAUUAUAGGAUCGGUACCAAUAACCCUAAGGUCUGAGAGUGAAUCAUGGCGUGAUUGUUAUUCAAUUUUAUUAGGAACACCUAGGGCUCUUGAUAGCUUUCAAUCCGGUUAGAGACCUAGGCUUGGGAUCUUGAGGAAUUGAGCUGAGAUUCGGACAGAGGAGGUGAAGACGAAUUAGUCGAUGUAUCGGAUUCCUGUUUUGGUGGCCACCGACGCCGGAAGUGAUUUCCGGUGCAGUGGUCCACGGUGGUGAUGAGUGAAAGGCUCGCCUGAACCAUGUCUCUGGUUGGCACGUGUUUUUAGGUUAAUUUUUCAAACCAAAUUCUCUUUCCCAAUUGCCAGACGUGACUGAAUUGAUGAUGGUCAUGAGAUUGGGCUUCUGCAAGCCAAGCCCAACAUUGUUUCUAGUUAUCACCCCCAUAUUCCAAACACACCCCAUGGCCAAAAGGCCAAUUUCAGUGGGCUUAACACCCCAGGGCCCAUACGCCUGGAGUGCUUCAUGCAACCUUCUUUCGAGCAGUGCAACUCUGGCCCUUGUUUUUCACCUUUACUUGUGUUGUUCAUUUUCUUUCUUGUUUUAAUUCUUUUUAUUGCAAUUUAAUGUUUGUUUUAAUUAUGGACGGUGAUUUUUGAUUAGUUAUCCUGCUUAGAAAGUAUAAAAAAAAAUCCCUUUAGUGUUAAUUGCCACGUAGGAUUUUAAGUAGAUAUGUUUAGGAUCAAUCCAUUUUGAUAAUCCUUGAGAAAAUGCCUUAAAAAAAUAAUAGUUUAUCCAUGUGAUUUGUGAUGUGAUUAAUCAUUCUAAUUCUUGACUUCUAAUCCAUGUUUAGAUAGGUUUAAAGAAUUGAAUUAGUUUCACAAGCUAUGUUUGAUUUUAAUAUCAUUUUAAUUGUUCCAUUUCUUCGAUUGUGGUUAUUAGAUCCAAAUUGAACAUGAUAUUUCAAUUUGAUGUGAUGUGUUAGCAUAUCUAUUUAUUCCAACCGUGAUCAUUAUGUCAUUUGAUCAUAUCAUUUCACUCCUUUCAAUUAGCAUUUUAAUUCCAUCUUUAUUAAUGCAUACUAGCCAUAUUUAUUUUUUGUGGUGACAUGUGAGUGAGAGAUCCAAACCAUCCAAGUUAUUCCUUUUAUUUCCAUUCAUUAGCUUGUAUUGUUUGGAGUGCCAUGUCACUUGUAUGGUUUAGGCAUGGCAUAUGAGUUGUAAAUUGUGUUUUCUUUUCAUGCCUUUAUGUUUGUAUUGUGUGGAUCCCCCCAUUGUGGGUUAAAUGUUCACUCUCCCCUUAGUUAUGCAAUAACUUAGAUUUAUUGCUUCCUAGCUAGUUUACUAUGCAUGUUAAUAACCAAGAUAAAAUACAAAACGAUAAACAAAGCAUUUAAAAAUAAAUAAAAGGUACUUGAUUCAACGUCAAGUUGUUUUCCGAAUAAAACUCACACCAUUGCAACGUGAAUGCUUGAUCCAACGUCAAGCAUUCUCCAUACACUCCAUGAUCCAUUAUAUCAUCUCUCCUUCAUUCCUCCCCUAAACCCAUUCUGUCAUCUCUUCUCCAUUAUCUUCUCAACCUUAUUCUAUCUCUCACCUCCGUCUUUCACUCUCACUUUUUCAUAAUAAAUUCAAAUGCUUGAUCCAACGUCAAGUACCUUUUUUUCAAAAUCAUUUUCAUAACAAAUUGGAAUUUUAAAUGGGGUGUACGUGUUUGUACACAACAUUCAAGUAAUUGGGUUGUCGGCCGUACCUAACCUGAGGACCCGACACUUGACUUUCCCCCUUUAAACAUCUAAUGAUUCAAACAAGUUAGAUCUAGGUGCUAAGAGGAAGAAAAAGAAUAGUUAGGGCUCCAUUGUCCUCUCGAUUCCCAAGUACUCUAAUUGUUAACUGUACUUAGUCAAGGGUUAGAGACUUGUCUCCUUUUAAGUUCCAACGAUUAGACUUGCCAAACUCCUUUCACAAUUCAAUCUCUCUUUUUGGAUGAAAAAGAGUGGUUAGGACAACAUUGUCCUCUCAACUCCCGAGUUAUUGGACCGUUGAUUGUAUCUAGCCAAGGGUCUAAUGCUUGUCUCCAUGCAUAAAAUCGAUCCCAACAAAUCAAAUCAUCUUCUGCCUUAGGGCCUUCUAUUCAAAACCUUUCAAUGAGAAUGUAUUAAUUCCGUUCUACCAUGAGCGAAGCUUAAAGCCUCCAUGUGCGGGCAAGUAAUGUUUAACUGCUAGAGUGUGAACCAAGCGUAUCCACUUUACCGUAAACAAGCAAAUACGUUCCGCUCCCAUGACAGAGUAUACAAGCAAGUGAAUAGUAGCAUGCUAACGUCAAUACUGUUAAGUAAAAAUAACGAAACAAAUACGCCAUUUUUGAGCCGAACUACAAAGCUCUGACUUCCCUAUUGCACGUGUAGGGAUACGCGGGCCCAAAUCCUUGGCGAGCACACUAACUUAAAACUUAUUUUCUCCCCCAUCUUAUUCUAUCAUCCCACCCAAUAGUAAGCAACUUACAGAUAAAUAAGCAUCCAUACACAUUUGAUACGAGCAAGCGGUUCCCAUGGAGUACCAUGGAUAUGAGGGGUGCUAAUAUCUUCCCCUUGCAUAACCGACUUCCGAAUCCGUUCUUGGUUGCGAGACCAUUUCUCUCAUUCGGGGUUUUAUCGCUAUUUUCCCUUUCCUUUGGAAUAAAUAAAAUCCGGUGGCGACUCUGUAUUUUUCGUGGUGCUUCAACUGACGACUCUGCUGGGGACAAUAUGGAGUUCCCAUAAGCAAGUCAAGCCUAGCUUACAUGUAUCCUUUUCCUUGGAUGUUUAUCUUUAUUAUUACUUGCUUUAUUUAUCCAUUCUUGUUAUAUAUUCCUGUUGUGUAUUAUAUUGCUUUGACCUUGUGGGAUAGGUAGUAUAGAGUGAGAAGCCCAAUAUGCAGGCUUAGAGAGUUCACCUAAGAUAUGAGGGCUAUUCGUAUUGACCCAUCGGGCGUAGUUGUCUUGAGGGGGAGAUACGAAGACCCCGCUUGGAGUAGAUUCUUUUUGGAGUUUUGCUGGCACGUGAGUUACGUUCACGUUGACGACCAUUCUUCCAAAGAGGGUCCAUGACUCCGAGGACCUUUGACAAUCCUUGGCUUUUGAGGUUGAAGGAAACUUCACUUAGAGGAGGUCAUCCCAAAAGUGUUGUUGGCUCACAAGUAUUUUGUGUCGACGACGACGACACUUUUGCCUCAUGAUCUAUGAAUCUAAGCAUCUUCAGAAGUCUUAGUACUCACCUCGUGAGGGUACAUGGGUUUCUUGUAGGGAAACUUAACCUCCAACGCACCUUGAAUCUACAGUGAUCCUGUCCUCUUGUAGCAUAUGCAUUCAUAACAUAUCGCAUUUGCAUACAUACUUGGGCCUUAUUCCUGGAGAACCCUAAAGGUUUGUGAUUGUGCAGUGAAUAUUCCAAGAUGGGCUAAGAAAGAAGGAAUGACCUUCCACUCAAGUUCAAGCUUCCUAGAAUGGAUACUCUAAUAACUCUCCACAACAAGAUCACUCCUUGUAAGAAGAACAACUUCAUCUGCAGAUAUGGGUGGAUCCUUGAUCUCCUUACUACUCCGAUAUAAGUCUCAGCUCUGGUGGCCUUAUCAGUAUUAUGACCCACCUCUCAGAUGUUUCACAUUCAAAGACUUCCAGUUGGCUCUAACUAUUGAAGAGUAUGAGAAGCUCCUAGGUUGGUAUGUGAAAGAACGUCCUCCCUUCACUAAGUUGGGCGAACCAUUGAUGCCUGAAACAGUCGCUGAAGCACUCCACCUACCUAUUGAAGAGGUUUCCCUUGGUCUGGGACCUAUGGGGUUUGCUAGAAAGUUCUUGGAAGACAAGGCAUGGGCCUUCGUCCUGUUCCCAAAUGACGACGACUACAUAAACCACUCCAUCAUCAGUGUGUUCGUGUUUGGGAAUCUUGUCCCUGCAUUGGUGUUUGAUGUGUACUAUUGCUUGCACACUAGGCAUGAGAAGAGAAAAGGUGUUGUGUUGAGCUGUGCUUCAUUGCUGUAUACUUGGCUCUUAUCUCACAUGCCUCAUAAGGGGCCUUGGGUGGACUUCCUGAGAGAUUUGAGGUGGUCCCAGAAGUUUGCUUCCCUUACUACCGAAGCUUUGGUUUGGUACCUUCAUACCUCCAACAUAGAACAAGUUAUCAUGAGCUGUGGAGACUUCCCGAAUGUUCCACCCAUGGGUCCAUGAGGUUGCAUCAAUUACAACCCUUCGUUGGCCCUGAGGCAAUUGGGAUACCCAAUGGAGAAUGAACCUAGAGCUGAAUUAUUGAAGGACUUCAUCUUUCCUGAUGUGGGAACAGAGAACCCAACUCUGUUACAGAGGGUUAAGAGAGCUUGGACCCAGAUUCAUCGCAAAGGUAAAGAGAUAGGCAAACGUGAUUGCCGAGCUAAAGAGCAGUACCGCCAAUGGGUGGUACAAAGGGCCAAAGAAGUCAAGUUGCCAUACAAUGUGGAUGUCCCGAUUCCUCCUCCACAACCAGAACCAGUACAUGCUUCUAAGGAAGAAGUAGAUGCACUGAAAGCAACUAUCGCACAGUUGACCAAAGAGAAUGAAAACUUGCGAUCGAAGCUUCACGCAUUGGAUAGAGACCAUGCUAAGUUGAAAAAAAAGAGUGAAGAGGAUCUUGAGCUUUUGUCAGAAAGCAGAAAGAAGGCUAAGCUUGAAGAAGACCUCAAAGAGAAAUACCAAGAGGGCUUAACUCAAGCAGAUAUGGGGCUGAGUUCUCUCCGAAAACAGCUAAAACAGACGGAGAAAGAAUGAUGGGACAACCACCAUUGGUUCGAGUUGGAUGUCAAAGAGAAGAAGGUAUUGAGAGAUGCAUCCGAACUAGAGAUUCAUGAUUUCAAGCUUUCCCUCCGCGAGGCCAAUGCCAAGAUAGAGGCGGAACGUUGUCUCAAAGAGGAAGCAGUCAGGGUUUCCUAUGUUACCCCUCAAAUAUGGAGAGAGAAAUGUCACAAGGUUGAGAUUUCCAUCUCAAGUUCUGAACAUUGGAAAAGUCGCUUUUCAGCUUUGAAGAAUGAGAGUUUGGGCUGGCUCAAGGAGAAGACUCAGAUGAAUAGCCUUCUUGACACCUAUGUUGGAUCUAUCAACUUGUUGCAACCUGCAUCCGCUUUGUACCGAGCCAAGUAUGAUUGCUUAGCAAGGCUCUGCAACGAAUUAACCCAAGAAGUUCCUUGGAAGCUAGAGGAUGCUCUAGAAGACGCUGAUGAGAAGACCACUCCCCACUCUAUACUCCGAUUCCUCUACCUCUGUGACCGAAUGAUAAAAAUGUUCAAAGUUGAGUUAAAGGAGAUGAAAGAGCGGAAAGAAAAACGCGUCAUUUGACCAUAUCUCCAUAAUUUCUUUUCCAUGUUUUGAAUUACUUUACCUAAUAUCUUUGUAAUUGUAAUAUCAAAUUCAUGAAUAAAAUUGCUUGAGUUGUGUGAAGUCGGUGUUCCAUCUUUAUGUGUCUAUUCUAUAAUGCUUUACUAUCGCAUCAUGAAUCAUAUAAGAUUUCCCCGAGAAUAAAAAAAACGAACAUGCAUCAUGCAUCAAUCAUUUAUCCAUGCAUUUCAUAAUAUAUCCAGUUGGUAUCACCAUUACUUUGGCCUUCUAUCUAGUAUUUCUCGGCGUCAAGUUGACUUCCCACUUCUAUAACACCCGAGCUAAGCAAAAGAUAGCUAUGGAAAGAAUUGAGCAAAACCAGACUGCCAUGCAGGAAGAGAUGGCUCAAGUGAGGGCCCAACUGGGGCAACUCAUGGACAUCAUGCUGAAUGUCGUUCACCGGCAAGAAGAGAAUCGCCAGGCUAACCCAGGAUCCAAUGUCAAUAUGAACACUGCCAAUCCCAUCAUAGGGAUGGGGUCCCGAUCGCCACUCAGACCCAUGUUGAAGGGAUGCCUACCAAUUUGAAUGCUGCUCACACUUACCAUGUCCCUAUCCAUGGGGGUUCCCAAGCUGGUACAAAGGACUACAAUGGAGACUUCUUCAUGCCUAGGAAUGAAUCAGUGUACAAACCUUUUGGACCACCACAGACUGAACUCGAAAGGAAACUCAAGAUGAUGGACGAAAGAGUUAGAGCCAUUGAAGGCCCUAACACUUUCGGGCUGGAAGCUGCUGAUAUGUGCUUAGUCCCAGGGGUCAAGAUCCCAACUAAGUUCAAAGUACCCACCUUUGAGAAAUAUCAGGUAAACACUUGUCCUAAGACCCAUAUCAGGUCUUACUGCAGGAAAAUGGAGGCUUAUUCGGGCGACGAAAAGCUACUGAUACAUUUCUUCUAAGACAAUCUAAGCAGAGCAUCCCUCGAAUGGUACAUGCAGCUUGAACGCUUGCAUGUGUGUUCUUGGAGAGAGUUAGCUGAAGCUUUCUUGAAGCACUACCAGUAUAACACUGAUAUGGCACCAAAUAGAACACAACUUCAGAGCUUGACUCAGAAAUCUGAAGAAUCCUUUAAAGAAUACGCACAACGUUGGAGGGACCUAGCUGCUAGGGUCCAGCCUCCCAUGCUUGAGAAGGAAUUGAUUGAUAUGUUCAUGGGAACAUUUCAAGGUCCAUAUUAUGAGAAGCUAGUACGGAGUACGUCUAUUGGAUUAUCUAAUUUGGUAGUCGCUGGGGAAAGGAUCGAGAGUGGUCUAAAGACUGGAAAAAUCCCAGGUCAUGCUAAUGCUGCUAAUGGGGCAAAAAAACCCUAUGGUGGUUUUCCCAAGAAAAAAGAGGGAGAAACCAACACUGCAUCAACCUCCAAGGGGAAAGGUAAAGCUUACCGGACCCCAUAUUAUCAAGUCGCAGAAGUGACUCCCAAUAACUAUCAACCGCCGACAUACGCCAUUCCUGUUGUUCCGCAGCAAGUCCCUUGUCAGCCGCAUGUCCAGUACCAGCAGUCGUACGCAUCCAGGCCAAACAAUUAUCAGCAAUACCAACCGUACCAACAACGUCCCAGGAGACAAGAGAGGAGGCUCGACCCUCUUCCCAUGAGUUGUAGUUAACUACUGAACCAUCUGUUGAAUGGUUCUCUUAUUAAGCUAAGGGAAGCCAAGCCUCUGCCGUCCCCACUCCCACCGGGCUACGAUGCAAAUUCACGUUGUGAGUUCCACACUGGGGCACCCGGCCACACUAUUGAUAAUUGUAAGGCGUUCCGGUAUAAAGUUCAAGAUCUCUCUGACUCAAAGGCCAUAUCAUUCGCGCCUGCGGGGCCCAAUGUUAGCAAUAAUCCGAUGCCUCCUCAUGCCGGACAUCCCUUGAACAUGAUUCAAGAGUCUGCUGUGGUCGACCGUAUCUCGAAGGUCGACAUGAUAAAGAAUCCAUUGCUAGAAGUAAAGGAAUAGUUUCUCUUAAGGAACGUCUUCCCCGGGUGCGCUUCCAACUGUGCACAAUGUGGAGAUACCCCACUAGGUUGUGAAAAGCUUAGGAAAGGUAUUCAAAUGCUGAUAGACCAGGGCGUUUUCCUAGUAGAACAUUCCUCAGCAGCCGAUGAGGUGUCUACUUUGGAGAUACCCUACUAUCCGGUACAAAUACCUGUUGAGAAUGCUCCCACAACACCCCUGGUGAUUACUGUGCCGACUCCUUUCCCAUAUGAAUUCUUGACUUCUAAUCCAUGUUUAGAUAGGUUUAAAGAAUUGAAUUAGUUUCACAUGCCAUGUUUGAUUUUAAU